GCCCGGCAACGCGCGCCCCCUGCCCGCCCGGCACGUCUGUCCCCGGGUGCAGUGGGCUCCCGGGGCCGCUGUUCCCAGGUGGGCUCCCGCACUGAGCGUCUCGAGAACUUUUGGAAAUACAGGUUCCAGCCCAGACUCGCUGAAUUGAAACUCCAGCAGUCUGAGCUCACAGUCCGGGUAAUUCAGGUGAGCGCGAGUCUGCGAGCUCCCGGGCUAGGGGACAGCGGCAACGGGUCGCCCCUUCGACCCUGGAUUCCGAACGGCGCUCGGAAUGAGUGACACGCGUUCUACCAGCUUAGAGAUGCGGAGACAGACUGCAAAGAGCCUAGAACCCGGCGAAGGUCACAGCCGUCAGGUCCGGACUCAGCGGCCCUCCUCUCCGUGCAGAAGGCACCGUUUUCUACCUGUAACCCUAGACGGGCUUCCUUCCAGGUGAUCCUGAGGGUCUCUCCCCCAGCACCGCUGGCACUUGGAUCAGACACCACCUUGGAGGACCAGUGCCAUCCUGGCAGACGUGAGCGCCAUGGGGGUGACUGCCUGCCACUGUCCCGCUGUAAGGGCAGCACCCCCGCUGCCGCCCCAAGCACCCUCUGGAGCAUCCAGAGUGCUGCUCAGCUGGCAGGCAGGCAGCCUGAGGGUGGGAGUCGGUGAAGCCCUAGCCUCUCCUUCAAAAGGACAAUUUGGGGCCCACUCCCCAGGGCUUUGCAGGGGUCCCCAGGCC
This is a long non-coding RNA of Bos taurus (domestic cattle), 721 nucleotides long. The record is from Ensembl. Lineage: Eukaryota; Metazoa; Chordata; Mammalia; Artiodactyla; Bovidae.